RNAcentral lists this long non-coding RNA (310 nucleotides) under Nicotiana benthamiana. RNAcentral's name for it is "long non-coding RNA (NBEN_LNC010639)". Lineage: Eukaryota; Viridiplantae; Streptophyta; Magnoliopsida; Solanales; Solanaceae. The record is from RNAcentral.
CACCGUCCCACAUGUGACUACUGCCUCUGCAUGGCUUGCAACUAUUGCAAUCACCAUAGCAGCUAUGAACAUUACUGAUAAGCUUGCAACCUUAGCCAUUUUGAUGAAAUAUAGUUUUGAAAUAAGAAAAAGUUGUGAUUUUUGAAGUAAUAGUUUAGCUUUGCAAAAGUGAAGUAGGUGUGGGAGAAGAAUGGUCGAAAUAAAAGAAGUUGUGAUUUUUGAAAUAAUAGUUUAGCUUUGCAAAGUGAAGUAGGUGUGGGAGAAGAAUGGUACUUGAAUGCCCUUAUAUAGAAGAAGUUUAUGACUAAUC